CCUACGGGUGGCUGCAGUCGAGAAUCAUUCACAAUGGGGGAAACCCUGAUGGUGCGACGCCGCGUGGGGGAAUGAAGGUCUUCGGAUUGUAAACCCCUGUCAUGUGGGAGCAAAUUAAAAAGAUAGUACCACAAGAGGAAGAGACGGCUAACUCUGUGCCAGCAGCCGCGGUAAUACAGAGGUCUCAAGCGUUGUUCGGAAUCACUGGGCGUAAAGCGUGCGUAGGCUGUUUCGUAAGUCGUGUGUGAAAGGCGCGGGCUCAACCCGCGGACGGCAUAUGAUACUGCGAGACUAGAGUGAUGGAGGGGGAACCGGAAUGCUUGGUGUAGCAGUGAAAUGCGUAGAUAUCGAGAGGAACACUCGUGGCGAAGGCGGGUUCCUGGACAUUAACUGACGCUGAGGCACGAAGGCCAGGGGAGCGAAAGGGAUUAGAUACCCGAGUAGUC
This 446-nucleotide ribosomal RNA is filed under the name uncultured bacterium. RNAcentral describes it as "partial 16S ribosomal RNA". It matches the Rfam family "Bacterial small subunit ribosomal RNA", at positions 338 to 795 of the family's 1533-position model. The record is from RNAcentral.